GGUAGAGUUAUAAAUUUGUUUCUAAAUAGAAAACUAUUUGCUGGAGUCAAUAUUUUGAAGACCAAAGUCCCAAAUUCUCUCUCGUGCCUGGCCAGCAUCCUAAACCUUACUGGUAGCCGGAGAAUGGCGUAAAACGGCGGCGAUCUUCUUCUUCAUCUUAUUCUCUCUCUCAUCGUUUCAGGUAAGCUUGUGAUUAUGAGUUUCUUCGCUUUCUUAGCUUGUAAUUAUAGGUUUUGAUUUCUUUAAUUCGUUUUGUAGCCAUUAAUGUCAAUUUUUGUCCCACCGGCAAUGUUUUUUGUUCCUAGAAGUUGAAGCCCUUCUGUUCUUGUGCCAUUGGUGAGUUUGCUCACUCAAAUUAAUUUUGUUCUGCGGAGUUUACAAAGUUCAAAUGGACUCAUUUGGAUUACUAUUGAAUUUAGCUUUAAUUCCAACAUCCAUUCUAAUGUUUUGCCAUUAGAUUUACUUUAAUUUUAUCUUUAAAGCUUCUACAAUGAAUAGCGGAGCUUGGGUUUUAGUUUCAAUUUCUAAUUAACUUGUUUUAGUUUAUCUUAUAUGCUCGCCAAGUGCUUGUUAUAUUGUCUGAUAAGUUAUAUAACAUUGCUGAUUCUAUAUUAGUAAUGUCAUGUUCCAUUUUCGGAAAUUAUAACACAAAAGUUUUUACAAUGGCUUGCAUCUACAAACUGAAUUGACUUGUAGAGUAAGAGCUUGGAUUAGUGUUAUGUUCUUGAAUAAAUGAAAGUUCAUAUUGUGUAAGAGCAUGUAGAUGUAAAGCAUCACUACCAUUUCUACAAACUGCUUUCAUUCUGUUCAGAUGCUCCUCUUGAACUUUGAAAGGUGCCUCAUUCAAGUCCUAGCUGUAACUACUAGCUCUGAUUGCUUAAGUUCCUGUGCUAGCUGAAACAGAUUUAUUUAAUUAAUUAAUUGUGUAUGUACUAAUUAUAUUGAACGUAUAUGAAGAAAUUGUUUAACAUGAAUGACUUCUAAAUGACUUAAAAGCCUAAAGGAUAUGUGAAAUAAUGCUCAUUUCACUUGAACGAGCCUAUUAAUACUUGUAUGUCUGAUGGUUGUCGAAGCCAACAAAAAUAAAUUCAUACUCUAAAUAAAUUGUGUAUAGUGAUUGAGCAAGGUCAUGUCCACAGAGAUCGGUAAUUAUUUAAAUCCUUUUGAAACGUAAAACGUAAAAUGGGGGAAUUGUUGACAAUAAUAAAAAUCAAAUUAAAAUAACAAGAAUGCAAAUUAAAGUUGUAAUUCAAAUUAGAGAAAGCUCUGGUUGAAGGAAUUAAUUCAGCUUGAUUCGACUACUGAUCAUUGAUUCAAAUAUAGAUUAUUAUUACUUAUGAAUAGACCGGUUAUAGCUACUGAGACCCUCUAAUAGCCAAUCUCUCCUUAACUAGUCGAUAACCAAGGUACGACUGUUGGUUAUUUCCCUAAUCAAUAGACAACCCUAGAUACGAUCAUAGGAUUUAAUCAAUUGACAGCCUGAAAAACCAGAGAGACCCAAAUCCUAAUCAACACAUACGAUGAUUCAUUUAAAUUAGAUUGUUUAUUCUCACAACACAACUCUCUGCUAUGUUAUUUGUCACAAACAUUAAAUUCUUCAUACGAUGAAUCCUUUAAUUGACAAUAGAUUAAGUUGAUAAUUAAAUAGUGGCCAAUUACCUAAUUAACAAACAUAAUCAUGAAAAUAAUUCAGAGAAUAAACAAAUACCCAAAAAGUAAUAAAACAAUUAAAGCAUAAAAUAGAUCUCACAAUAGUGAUGAAUCAAAGCUUCAUUAUCCUUCAACCAGAAAAAUAUAUUUAGUUCUUCAUAGAGAGAAGAGAAAAGUUUAGAUCUAGGGUUUCUUUCUCUUCUCUUCAAAAGUCCCAUUUUUCACAAUAGAUUCCUCUCUUAAAUACUCUCUCUCUCUUCUCCUCUAGAAUUCUAUUUAAAAUAAAAUACUAAUAUAUGAAAUAUUAAAUUCGUAAUUACAAAAAUAACCAAAAAUACAAAACACGUUAAACUAAAAACUGUAGGUCCGUAGUUGCAGCACGCGCCCACGCGUUAUCAACAAAGUUCUUCUGACGCUCAUAAUUUCUCCAAGAAAGCAAUCAUCUUUAAACAUCAUCUUAUAGCUCAAUUUUAUCACAAAUCAAUAGAAUUGCACCUACAAAAGUAAAACACAAGUAAAUUAUCAUUAUUAAGUGCAAAACAUCAAUAUUAAGGGAAGUAAACAAUGCAAAACUAGUGCAUAAAUUGCACUCUAACAAAUUCCCCCACACAAAGAUGAUGCUUGUCCUCAAGCAUAUAACUCAAGACUAAUCCCAAAUCUCCACUCAAUUCUCAUCUCAACUCAUCCAAAAACAAUUUUAAGCAAGUAUACCUCAAGAAAUUAAGUCGAUCAACAUUCGAGAGACAAGGAUUUUAAAGCAUAGAAUCUCAUAAGAUAGAAUAAGAACAUUCAACCACCAAGAAGAUCCAUUCAAAAUUCAAGUGCAACAAGAUUUAAUAGCCCUCUCAUUGACCUCACUCCAUGCACUCAAAGUGUUUAGGGUGUCAUUUAUUCACUCAAAUCAAAUCAAAGAAUGUUAUUACCAUAAACUUGCUUAUAUAUCACAUCUCAAUCCACAAAACAUGAAUUAAAUGCAAAAAUCUAAGGGUCUUAAAAGGUUGUAACGGGGUUAAAUGGGUUAAAUGAAAAAGAAAAGUUUAUGAAAGAAAAAGAGAUCAAAAUGAGAAGAAUGAACUCAUUGAACGAACUUUAUGAUAUCGAAACGCUUAUUUCUACACAAGUCACCAAGAAUGUAAACAUUUUUUUUUCUUUUUCUUUUUUUUUUUCAAUUUUUUUUUUCGAUUUUUCUUUUUCUUUUUCUUUUUUUUUUUGAAUCAAACAAAAGAAACGAACCUUGCACAAUUUAAUUCAGGCAUAAUGCUUGUUGAUCUAAUUGAGAAACUUUAAUACAAGGUAGAAAAAGCAACAAAAUAUAUACAAAAUAUAUCCACACAAUGAGUCCAAAAAUCUCCUUAAAUUGAGGCUCAAAAAGAAGAAAAAUGGUUAAGUAGACGGAGAGAAUUAGAUGGGUAAUGGUUAAGGCUCAAACAAAGAUAGUAAAUCAAGGUCUUCGGGUAGAGAAAAAAAAAUGCGAGAAUAGAAAAAUGGUAAAUGGUUUGCCCUUAUCAUUUUAAUGCAAAAAAUCCGUAAUGUGGCUUCAACAUGCAUAACAAAGCAAGUUCUAGAAUAAACAAACUAAGAUUGAUAUUCACAUAACAAAAAUAAUAGAGCAAAGUGGUUGCUCAUAGGCUCAAAUCCUCACAAAGUUGGUAAAUUUGCCAUCAAAUCAUGUGCACUCUUCAAAUGAAUCAACCAUCAAUAGUGGUGUAGAAUGAGAAGAAGGUAUGAUUGAGAUAUGAAAGGAAAGGUAAAAAGGAUAAUAAGCGAGAAAGAUGUAUGUAGUAAAAAAAAUGAAUGAUAAAAUGUGAGUGAUGAAAGAGUAUGAUAGAAUAAAAAUAUAUGUAAAUAAUUUGAGGUAGAUGGGAAAAGAGUAGUGAGAGAGAAAGGAAAAGAAAAUUAAUAAUAUAUGAAGCAUACUAACUCCAAAAUCAUUUAAGGAUGAGUAGAGUGAAAAUAAUAAUUCCAAACAUCAAUAAUGUAAAAAAAUCCCUCCCCCACACCAAGAACUUACAUUGUCCUCAAUGUAAGAUAAUCAAAGCUCACAUAAAAAUUAAAGCGUAAGGAUAAAAGAUUAAAGACAAAAAAAAAAAAAAACUUCCCUGAAUUAUGAGCUUUGAUCCACAUAACGUCUAUGGGCUUGGCAGAAAUGGUGGGGUAAAUCCCACACUCUCGAAGUAUGCGGCCAAAUUCUGCUCCAUCUUGUUCAGCUUGUGCUCCAUUUUCUCUAACUGAAUGCUCAAAGGUGGUGCGGAUGUAGAAGGAAUAGUUGGCGGGGCAGCAGUGUCGUCGUCAAACUCGUCAUCAGAGGUAGCACCACUCCUAGCAUAAAGCUUCUUCGGAGGUUGAGUGGGUCCUGGUUCAGUAAAAUGAAAUCUCCCCUCCUUGAAUUCGACCAUACCUGUUCUUUCAAACACAGACAUAUCCAAAAAUUCCUUUUUGCAAGCAGGAUGCAAAUCAUUAUUGUCAGGAUCAAGCACACAUAGGUUUAUAGCUAACAGAGUAAUGUAUGGACCAAGAAAUAAAGUUCUAUACCGUUUAAGCACACUUUGAAAUUGAUCCGCUAACCAAAAACCUAAAUUAGGCCUCACAUCAUUUAACAUGCACCAGAUAAAAUAACAUUCAGUUUUAGAGAAAACUCCUGAGUGAUCUUUCUUACCGAAAAAAUUAUAUGCUAAGAAUCGAUGCACACAUUUCAAAACAGGAUCACGUAAGAAAGAACUCUUUGAUUUACUCGGGUCAUAGGCAUUGUGAUCAAUAGAUAAAUUACGCCAAAGACCAUAAGGCUCAAAAUUUUCGCUAAAGUCACAAGUUGUUCCUAAAUAUGCAUCACUAGAAGAAUAAUCAUCAUCAAUGAAUCCUAAAGCUAGGUUAAAAUCCGUGAUAGAGUGUAAAAAAUUUCGUCCCAUUAACCUAAACUUAAUGACAUCCGGGGUAUGCAAAGUAAAAUCAUUCGGCAUAUUAAAUUGAAAAGUAGCAUAAAACUUCCUAAUCAACUCAACAUAACCCAAACAAUCAACAUCAACAAACUUAUGUGACCCAAUCUUAUCUAUCAAAGAAUCAAAAUUAUCCUUAACAUUCAAUUUUUCAAGAGUCGGGUAAUGAAUAUACUUAGCUGGAAGUAUUUUGCGCGUGGAAAUAUCUUUGUACCUCUCUUUCUCUUGUUGAGUCGCGAAUGCGAGGCACUCUUUGAGAUUGGAUUCCGCAAGUGGCAAAACACUCAUGCCUUUUCCAUGUUUCGAUCUUUGUCUCACGGCUUGGCGUGAAUAUGAAAUUGUGUUCCAUGGAACCGUAGUGGGAGCGGCAAUCUUAGAUUUCUUUGCGACGAGUGUCUUUUUAGAUGACUUGGAAGUAGAUGCUUUCCUCUUCGGCAUUGUUACAAUAAUUGCACUCACGGAUUUCGAUUUACCUGGCUGGAAUACAGGGCGUAGGUUGGAUCUGCGUUGCGUUGCUGCUUGGCUGGAGCUUGCUGCGCAGGUUGGGGCUGGUUGCGCGCUGCUGCUGGUUGUGUUGCGCGCUGCUGCUGGUUGUGUUGCGUGAUGCUGCGCGCUGCGGGUGGAAUUGGUUGCGCGCUGCUGGGGCUGGAUUCGGGUUGCGCGCGGGGGCUGGGGAUGCUGGUGCGCGCUGCGGGUGGGACUAAUGCGCUGCGCUGAGGCUAAUUCGCGUUGCUGGGGCUGCGUUGUGGGAUGCUGGUGCUGUGUUGCGUUGCGCGCGGCUGCUGCUGCUGCAUGGCUGCGGCUGCUGCUGCUGCGGGUGAAAACGAUAAUCAACAGUGAAUUUUUAUUUUAUUUUUUUGAAUUAGGGAUUUAUGAACAGUGAUUUGUGAUUUUUGUUUUUUUUUUGUUUUUUUUAAAUAAAAAAAAUAUGUAUAUAUAAAAGAAAGAAAAGAAGGAAAAAAAAUAAUAUUUUUUUUUUUGUGAUGAAUCACUUUGAGACACUAAAAAUUUCAGAAGUACUUUUCUAAUAAGCACGUGGGCACGCCUUAAAACCAUUUUAUUUUAAAAAUCACAGAAGUACUUAUUAGUUAAGACGUGGGCACGCCUUAUCAAAAAUUUUCUUCUGACCAAAAUAAGCAAACACAUUAAAAAAAAAUGAAUCAAAAUUAAAAGAAGAUAUAACAAAAACCAAAAUAAAUAAAUCAUUUGGGUUGCCUCCCAAAAAGCGUCUUUGUUUUAUGUCUUUGGCUAGACACAUUUAUGCAUCAAUCUCCAUAAUUGGGACUCUCGAGAGCCACAUCCUCCACAAUAUUCACAAAAAAACCUUCAUAAAAAGGUUUUAAGCGAUGACCAUUAACCUUAAAAAUUUUGUCAGAGGUCGGACUUCGAAUCUCAACUGCACCAUGAGGGAAAACAUUAGUAACAAUAAAAGGUCCAACCCAGCAAGAACGUAAUUUACCCGGAAAAAGUUUAAGCUUAGAAUGAAAAAGAAGAACUUUUUGACCAACAGAGAACUCCUUUCUCAAAAUCAUUCUAUCAUGAAAUGUCUUCGUUUUUUCCUUGUAAAUAACUUCCUGCACUAUAGGGUUAAUAACAUCCACAGAAAAUACCGAAUGUUCCUCACUAGGAUAUUUCAUGGCAUCAUUCAUAUUGAAUUCUAUAACCUCUCCAUCAAACUCCAUAGUGAGAGUCCCUUUAUGUACAUCCAUUUUAGUCCUAGCAGUCUUAAGAAAAGGUCUUCCUAGCAAAAUUGGGACAAAAUUGGAGGAGUUAUCCUCUUCCAUAUCAAGUGCAUAAAAAUCAGCAGGAAAAACCAACUCAUUAACUUGUACUAAGACAUCUUCUAAUACCCCAUCAGGAUAUGCAUUAGACCUAUCAACUAGUUGAAUUAUCACGCCAGUUUCUUUUAAUGGACCAACAUUCAAAGAUGAAUAAAUGGAACGAGGCAUGACAUUAAUAGAAGCUCCUAGAUCUAACAAAGCCUUUUCAAUUCUAACACUACCAAUUUUACAAGGGAUAGUAAACAUACCUGGAUCCUUGCACUUAGAGGUAGUUUCUUUUGGAGAACUGCUGAAACAUUCUCCCCCAUGUGAACUUUUUCAUCUCCUCUUAAUUUUCUCUUAGAGGUGCACAGUUCCUUAAGGACUUUAGCAUAUCGAGGUAUUUGUUUUAUAGCAUCUAAUAAAGGAAUAUUUACCUCAACCUUGCGAAAUGUCUCAAGGAUGUCUUUCUCUUGUUCCUCCUUCUUGGAUAUUGCAAACCGGCUUGGAAAAGGAGGAGGUAUCACAAUAGGUAGGGGUUUCGCUCUGGUGGGUUGCGCAUCUUGAGAUUUAGGCAUCAAUUCAUUCUUCUCAAGCUCAUCUUCUACAUGCUUUGUCACUUUCUUACUAGGCUCUUGCAACUCCUUCCCACUUCUAAGGAUGACAGCACUAACGUUUUUCUUUGGAUUCACCUCAGAUUGUGAAGGCAAUCUCCCUAAUACUUGAGACUCCAGAAGGCUCACUGUAGUCGCCAAUUGACUCAUUUGGUUCUCCAAAUUCUGAAUGCUUGUUGUAGUUGCCUGCUGAAAUUGUUGAGUGUUAGUCGCAAGUGAUUUAACAAUUUCUUCAAGAGAUAUACCUGACUUAGAGUUUGAUUGUGGAGGUGCUGGUUGUCUUGGUGGAUACUAUUGUGGGAAUCCUGACGGCCUAACUCCAUAGCUGAAGUUGGGGUGAUCCUUCCAUCCCGGAUUGUAUGUUUAUGCAUAAGGAUCAUACCUCCUCUGAGGCAUGCCUGGAAAUCCUCCAACUGCAUUGGUUUGUUCAACGGGUUCUUCUUGAAGUGUAGGACACAUAUCAGUUGAAUGACCCAUAUUGUAACAAAUGCCACAAGUCUUCACCUGUUGCACAUUACCUACAACAAACUUUUCCACAAGAGAAGUAAGUUUAUCUAAACUUUGUCCAAUAGAAGAAAUAUUUACCUCAUUUACCUUCCUUGAAGUGAGAUCUUGCCUGCUGCCAAAUUGUUGUGCGUUGGCAGCCAUAUUUGAUAUCAGCUCCUUUGCUUGAGUAGGGGUCUUGUUCACCAACACGCCUCCACUAGCAGCAUCUAUCAUACUCCUAUCCAUCAAUGACAGUCCUUCGUAAAAAUAUUGAAUAAGAUGUUGAUCAGAAAUCUGAUGCUGAGGACAGCUGGCACACAAUUGUUUGAAUCGCUCCCAAUACUCAUACAAAGUCUCCCCAGGAAGUUGUCUGAUCCCACAAAUGUCUUUUCUGAUGUUAGCAGCUCUUGAAGCAGGAAAGUAAUUCUCGAGGAAUUGCUUGUUCAAACCAUUCCACGUUGUAAUUGAUCCAGGAGGCAAGUAGUACAACCAGUCUUUAGCUAGUCCAUCUAAAGAGAAAGGAAAAACACGCAGCUUAAUCUGCUCUUCAGUCACGCCUUGUGGUCUCAUACUUGAACACACAACAUGAAACUCCUUAAGAUGUUUAUGAGGAUCUGCACCUGCAAAACCAUGAAACUUGGGUAAUAAAUGAAUAAGACCAGACUUUAAUUCAAAAUUUACCUCCAAGUCUACAUAUUGAAUGCAGAGUGGUUGUUGACUCAAGUCUGGUUCAGCUAACUCUCUAAGAGUUCUUUCUACAGGUGCAGGUCUAUCUAUCAUUUGUUCUUCUGAAUCGCUAGAUGAUUCAACUAAAUCAGGCACUGUAUCUAUUUCAGAAAGCAAAGGCGACGAGGAUCGUUACUUAGCUCGCUUCGUCUGCUGUCUCAGCUGGCGAGCUGUCUUCUCAAUUUCAGGAUCAAACGAAAGUGUACCUGUACGAGAAGAACGAACCAUACACCAAGUAAAACGUAAAAAGGAUUAAAUAAAUGACACCAAUCCCCGACAACGGCGCCAAAAUUUGAUGGUUGUCGAAGCCAACAAAAAUAAAUUCCUACUCUAAAUAAAUUGUGUAUAGUGAUUGAGCAGGGUCGUGUCCACAGAGAUCGGUAUUUAAAUCCUUUUGAAACGUAAAACGUAAAAUGGAAGAAUUGUUGAUAAUAAUAAAAAUCAAAUUAAAAUAACAAGAAUGAAAAUUAAAGUUGUAAUUCAAAUUAGAGAAAGCUCUGGUUGAAGGAAUUAAGUCAGCUUGAUUCGACUACUGAUCAUUGAUUCAAAUAUAGAUUAUUAUUACUUAUGAAUAGACCGGUUAUAGCUACUGAGACCCUCUAAUAGCCAAUCUCACCUUAACUAGUCGAUAACCAAGGUACGACCGUUGGUUAUUUCCCUAAUCAAUAGACAACCCUAGAUACGAUCAUAGGAUUUAAUCAAUUGACAGCCUGAAAAACCAGAGAGACCCAAAUUCUAAUCAACACAUACGAUGAUUAAUUUAAAUUAGAUUGUUUAUUAUCACAACACAACUCUCUGCUAUGUUAUUUGUCACAAACAUUAAAUUUUUCAUACGAUGAAUCCUUUAAUUGACAAUAGAUUAAGUUGAUAAUUAAAUAGUGGCCAAUUACCUAAUUAACAAACAUAAUCAUGAAAAUAAUUCAGAGAAUAAACAAAUACCCAAAAAGCAAUAAAACAAUUAAAGCAUAAAAUAGAUCUCACAGAAGUGAUGAAUCAAAGCUUCAUUAUCCUUCAACCAGAAAAAUAGGUUUAGUUCUUCAUAGAGAGAAGAGAAAAGUUUAGAUCUAGGGUUUCUUUCUCUUCUCUCCAAAAGUCCCCUUUUUCACAAUAGAUUCCUCUCUUAAAUACUCUCUCUCUCUUCUCCUCUAGAAUUCUAUUUAAAAUAAAAUACUAAUAUCUGAAAUAUUAAAUUCGUAAUUACAAAAAUAACCAAAAAUACAAAACACGUUAAACUAAAAACUGUAGGUCCGUAGUUGACAGCACGCGCCCACGCCUUAUCAACAAAGUUCUUCUGACGCUCAUAAUUUCUCCAAGAGAACAAUCAUCUUUAAACAUCAUCUUAUAGCUCAAUUUUAUCACAAAUCAAUAGAAUUGCAUCUACAAAAGUAAAACACAAGUAAAUCAUCAUUAUUAAGUGCAAAACAUCGAUAUUAAGGGAAGUAAACAAUGCAAAACUAGUGCAUAAAUUGCACUCUAACAAUGUCUAUGAUUGUCAAUCUUGCUUUAAGUGUUUCAGUUAAGUGGUUUACCUAACAGGGAAAAAAAUUUAAUGGAAAACUUUAGAGUUCUAACAGAAAUAUAGUUGACUGCAGAUAUAGCUAUUUUGCAGUACAUAAAUUAUGUUGUCCUAUUCUCAAUGUCCUACGACCUAUUUUAUUUUAUAUGGUCAUUCAUUUUUGCGAUGGUUUUUUGUGCUUAUGAGUAUGGAAAUAGUGGGAUUUGGUGUGGCAAACAAAAAUAUACAUAUAAUCAAGUUUCUUAAUCAUGUAUAUUGGUUUUGGGUAUGAAUGUUUUCCUAUUCUAGUUCUAGGCAAAGUUUCUUCAUUUUGGUCUUCAGAUUUCCAGUAGGUUAAGUUAAGCAACUAUCAUAACUAGCUAGCUAGUUAUUGCCUGCCUUGUCGCCAUUACAUUGCAUGGCAUAAGGAAUAGUAACUAGGUGAUUAUUGGUGAUUCGUUGAGUUUAUUAUUGGCCAAACUAACAUAUUCGCCUUUACCCACAACUUAGUUUGAUUAGAUAUUAGAUAAUAAAGAGCCUUAAUCUAUGCAUUGCUUUAUUAUUUUUAUUUGGUUUUUCUUUCAACAAUAUUGUUGAUUUCUUAUAAAAAAUAUUCAUUGGUUUUUAAACACCUAAUCAUUGGCUAUGAUGAAGCUAAUUAAAACGAAGGCUUUGGAUCAAUUUCUUCUAACAACAUACAAAUGAGCAUAACCACCCCCUCCCCCCGAACCCAAAAAAAAAAAAAAAAAAAGGAAGACUUUGCAAGAUUCACAACCAGGUUACAUUUAAUUUAUUAAUUGUGUGUACGUACUAGUUAUUUGUUGAUAGAAUAGGAAGAAGUAUUUUAAUAUGAAUGACUUAAAACUUGUUGCUCAGUAAACAUAAUGUGCAUCAGUGCUAGAAAAUGUAUUUAUUGUUUGUAAUUUUUUAUGGUUUUGCUUAAGAAAUGAAAUGUGAAAAAAUGCUACAUUGUAUUAGGAAUAAAUUGAAGAGAUUUAUGAUUUUUAUGUGUUAUUCAAGUUUCAGAUUCAAUUUUAAACUUUUGAUACAUGCAUUGAAAGCUUAAACUCCUUUAAGAAAUUAUUAAUAGACACAUGUUUUAUUAGUGUCAUCUUUUGGAUGAUAGUGAGGAUCUUAUGUCUAUUAAUAAUUCUUGAAUUAUCUAGGCUUGGACAGUUUGGUAAUGCAUAGUUUUCUAUGGUAGCUAGUGCCUGAAAUUUUUUUCCCACGUAAAAAUGGGUUUUUCAGCAGCUGCUCCUCAUGUUCUCUGGGUGCAUACUAGACAAAUGGGUGUCAUGUGUUGUUUUGGCAUAACACAUAAACACUCAUAUAUCUAUGUCGCGUACUUGAAGAACUAUAGGGAGAUGCUUCCGAAGUUUCUAUAAACGUAGAGGAAAACUUUAGAUACUUAAGAUUGAAGAAACUUAUGCAUUCUUGAGUGGGAUAUAUAGGACCACUUACCUUUUGUAAAUAUGAAGGGAAUGUUGGAUAUAUUGAUGGGAGUGGAGGAGCUGAGUGGGAUGAAUGUAAUCGGUUAUGAUUUUGCUGAGUCGACUUGGUUUUGAGUCUUGUAAUUUUGUUUAUAAAUGGAGUACUAUCUCCAAUGUUGGUUUAUAAAUAUGUUUCAGCUGGCUGACCUAAUUUUUUGUUUCUAGGUAACAGGCUUUAUAUAUCUGUAAUUGAUAGCCAAGUGAAGUUCUCAGCAGUGGGUAACAGGCUUUACAGAAGAAUACUAUAAAUAAUUCUUGAAUUAUCUAUGCUUAUUGACCAUAGAUCAAAACAAUCUCUUCCUUUUCAACCCCAUCUCUGUCAUUGCUCUGCAUCCGUAUACAUAAAGUGAUAUGAGUCGCACUAGAGUUUUUGC
RNAcentral lists this long non-coding RNA (11528 nucleotides) under Citrus maxima (pomelo). RNAcentral describes it as "long non-coding RNA (CMAX_LNC001309)". The stretch from base 7736 to 7842 matches the Rfam family "Plant small nucleolar RNA R71". The record is from RNAcentral. Lineage: Eukaryota; Viridiplantae; Streptophyta; Magnoliopsida; Sapindales; Rutaceae.